This is a long non-coding RNA of Chelonia mydas (Green sea turtle), 1334 nucleotides long. RefSeq lists it as uncharacterized. Lineage: Eukaryota; Metazoa; Chordata; Testudines; Cheloniidae. The transcript has 3 exons. The record is from RefSeq and is a predicted model, not a curated record.
CUGUGAUGAGGGAACAUGUACCCUAGCCAGCAGCUGUUACUUGUCGCCUUUAUCGGGGAUCCUUGGAGGACGGGGGGAAAGAUAGAACGUGACUUUAAACCCGUCUACAUCUGAGGCUUGUGGAGAAAACUGGCUGGUGCUUUCAGCAAAGCCGCCCUUAUUGCUGCCCGCCCUGGGAGUUUUUCGCGGGCACAAGGUAAGCCGGUGGCAACGCACCGGCGAACGCAAAGCGGCUCGUUGACACGCGGGAUUCGAACGCCUGACUUUCUGUUUCACACAAGGAGGCUUUUUCCGCGAGACCACGGGAUCACUGCGGUGGUGUCUAAAUUCCAUUACUGGCUACAGAUUUAAACCGCACAGCAUGGUCCUCUUUGUUGCUCUCCAGUUUUCUCAACAGGUAAAAGGUAAACCAACAAGGGACUGUGGAUCUGUGUAAACAGUUCCUGGCAGACUGAUUACCCUUUUCCAGCACAACGUAGUAUGAUGCCGAUCACUGUGUCUAUGAAUUACAAACACAUCACUCAAGCCCGCUAGGUUUUUGUUUUUUUUUUUUUUUAUGCUAAUCCCCUCUGGUGUGAAUUUUUGCUCUUGGUUGGAAAAUAGCUCUAUUCAGCAGCCACCUUCCAUCUUAAAAUCCUUUUCAUGCCGGUGAGCUUUGCUCUAACCUCAGCUCUCAUUUUUGUUGCCCCCCCCCCCCCCAUUUUAAUGAGCAUUAAAUAAGUUUUCGGUCUUCUUCCGUCUGCAUUCUUUGCAGUGGGGGGUGAAAGAGGCAGCCAGAUCCUCCCUUCACUGAGGGGUCAGGGAAGAUGUGUGGUGUGGGGUGACACAGGACCUGGCUGUGCCUUGAAGGUGUUCAGGGAUUUGGGUGUCCUAGACAGGAGCAUGCGCGCUGUUGAGGUCUCAUGGGGACCAUGGUUGCUACAGGAAAGCCUGUGAGUUGCACGGCAAGGGGGAACCGUCUCUCUGGGAGGCCCCAGCUGCCUUCCCUGCAUGAUCCUGUUGUCUCCAGAUUGUGCGGCUUCCAUCCAUUGCAUCCCUGACGCUUGGGCACUGGGCACAAAAGGACAAAGGACCUGAGCCCUUGGGGAAGCAAUCACUUCAAAGGGACUAGAAGCAGGGAUGCCCUUUUGAAGGGGAUGGGCCAACUGCCUCUGGAGAAUAGCAGUUUGGGCCUGGCUAGUGACCAUGGUAGUCUCAGUGCUAUUCCACCAACGCCCCUCGCUGCGCCAUUCUAGUAGAGCAGCUUCCUAUUUCGCUGAUCCUACCCCUUCACUCAGAGCAAAACAUGCCUCUAAAGCAGUGGUUCUCAAACUUUUAUACUGGCAACCCCUUUC